GAAGACAGGAUAUUAUGAAUGUGCCAUGGACAUGUUAUGAGGGAACCUGAUGUACCACUUCUAAUCAAGGUUCUCAUGAGUUCUGGGAAUCACGAAACAACAGCAACACUGAAACUAGUAGAGCUCAUUUCAAAUGAUCCUGGAGUUGAGACAGAAAGAAAAACAAGGGAAAGAGGGAGGUAGAGAGAUUAAGAAAGAGGAGGAAGAUGGGGAAGAGAUCAGAAUAAAUGCAGAGCCAUCAUGAAGGUUGAUGCUGAGCUUGGGAGCCAAGAUGGCAGCAGAACCAAUCCAAGUCAUUCAAGUUGCCGUUAAUCCGUAGCAGGGUUCCACUGGACUUGACAGAUUGAUGAAGCCGGAAGAAGUUAUUACUUUAACUGUGCUGCUCCAUGUUUUCAUACCAUAUAUAGAUAUAGCUGAGAAUAAAAACUAAAUAAAUUAACACACAAGAGAAAGAAGUUAAGAAAAGCCCUGAAACCUUUAUGUUUAAAUAUGUGCAAAGGUGUCCUAAGACAUUAGAAAACUCCUUUUAUAAUUUUUUUGUAUUUAAAACUUAAGUAUGUUAUGAUAAUCUGGAGAAAAUAACUUCUACUCCCAAAAUAUGUUUGAAGCCUAAGGAUCCAGAGCCAGUGUUUGGAAUUUACAGUCAGAUGUAGUUUGAAUUCCACCUUUGUACUACUUACCUGGGUAAGCCUUGGAUAAAAUAGCAGAUUUAUUAUUUUUAACUUCAAUCUAAAUGCUUUGUAUCAAGUAAAUAUAACCCUGAAGUACCUCAAGAGCAAAGAACAUAUUUCAUAUUUUCUUCAUGGCUUAAGUUUUAUUCCAAAGCAGAGAGGUUUAUCUAUAUAUUUUAUCAUUAUUUAGAGAAUUUCUAGAAUUUGAAGCAGUGUGAUCAUUCUUAUAAAUGUCACAGGGAUUCGCUUUCUUCCUCUCACUUAAAGCCUUGCUAUUCACCAUCGCCCACUGUCUUCAUGCUGUACUCAUUUUUUUGUAUCCAUUAUUAAUGCUUGGAAGGUGACAAGAUUCUGCUUAUAUCAAAAUUGCUAUUCCUUCAUUAACGGAGAUAGUUUGCAAGUCUGUUUUCUAUAUCAAAAGUAUUGUUUAUAAAUGAGCACGCUGCUCAAACUUAAGCAAAAAUAAGAAAUCAUUCAUCAUAAUGUUAUAUGUGUGCUGUUAUGACCUAAAUUUUGUGGUUGAAGUUUUACU
Long non-coding RNA from Hipposideros armiger (great roundleaf bat), 1203 nucleotides. RefSeq lists it as uncharacterized. The record is from RefSeq and is a predicted model, not a curated record. The transcript has 3 exons. Lineage: Eukaryota; Metazoa; Chordata; Mammalia; Chiroptera; Hipposideridae.